AGUGAACGCUGGCGGUAGGCCUAACACAUGCAAGUCGAACGGCAGCACAGUAAGAGCUUGCUCUUACGGGUGGCGAGUGGCGGACGGGUGAGGAAUACAUCGGAAUCUACUUUUUCGUGGGGGAUAAUGUAGGGAAACUUACGCUAAUACCGCAUACGACCUACGGGUGAAAGCAGGGGAUCUUCGGACCUCGCGCGAUUGAAUGAGCCGAUGUCGGAUUAGCAAGUUGGCGGGGUAAAGGCCCACUAAGGCGACGAUCCGUAGCUGGUCUGAGUGGAUGAUAGGACACACUGGAACUGAGACACGGUACAGACUCCUACGGGAGGCAGCAGUGGGAUAUAUUGGACAAUGGGCGCAAGCCUGAUCCAGCCAUACCGCGUAGGUGAAGAAGACCUUCGGGUUGUAAAGCCCUUUUGUUGGGAAAGAAAAGCAGCAGGUUAAUACCCCGCUGUUCUGACGGUACCCAAAGAAUAAGCACCGGCUAACUUCGUG
Molecule: ribosomal RNA, 492 nt
Filed under: uncultured bacterium
Lineage: Bacteria
Description: partial 16S ribosomal RNA
Rfam family: Bacterial small subunit ribosomal RNA
Source: RNAcentral